UACGGAGGGGGCUAGCGUUGUUCGGAAUUACUGGGCGUAAAGCGCACGUAGGCGGCUUUGUAAGUUAGAGGUGAAAGCCCGGAGCUUAACUCCGGAACUGCCUUUAAAACUGCAUCGCUAGAAUCGUGGAGAGGUGAGUGGAAUUCCGAGUGUAGAGGUGAAAUUCGUAGAUAUUCGGAAGAACACCAGUGGCGAAGGCGACUCACUGGACACGUAUUGACGCUGAGGUGCGAAAGCGUGGGGAGCAAACAGG
RNAcentral lists this ribosomal RNA (253 nucleotides) under uncultured bacterium. RNAcentral's name for it is "partial 16S ribosomal RNA". It matches the Rfam family "Bacterial small subunit ribosomal RNA", at positions 524 to 776 of the family's 1533-position model. The record is from RNAcentral.